AUUGAACGCUGGCGGCAGGCCUAACACAAGCAAGUCGAGCGGAUGAAGAGAGCUUGCUCUCUGAUUCAGCGGCGGACGGGUGAGUAAUGCCUAGGAAUCUGCCUGGUAGUGGGGGACAACGUUUCGAAAGGAACGCUAAUACCGCAUACGUCCUACAGGAGAAAGUGGGGGAUCUUCGGACUUUACGCUAUCAGAUGAGCCUAGGUACGAUUAGCUAGUUGGUGAGGUAAAGGCUCACCAAGGCGACGAUCGUUAACUGGUCUGAGAGGAUGAUCAGUCACACUGGAACUGAGACACGGUCCAGACUCCUACGGGAGGCAGCAGUGGGGAAUAUUGGACAAUGGGCGAAAGCCUGAUCCAGCCAUGCCGCGUGUGUGAAGAAGGUCUUCGGAUUGUAAAGCACUUUAAGUUGGGAGGAAGGGCAGUAAGUUAAUACCUUGCUGUUUUGACGUUACCGACAGAAUAAGCACCGGCUAACUUCGUGCCAGCCGCCGCCGUAA
This 500-nucleotide ribosomal RNA is filed under the name uncultured bacterium. Its description in RNAcentral is "partial 16S ribosomal RNA". It matches the Rfam family "Bacterial small subunit ribosomal RNA", at positions 30 to 523 of the family's 1533-position model. The record is from RNAcentral.